CCAAUCUCGGCAAGGCGGUCACGCCGCACGCCAUUCUCGAAGUGCGAACGGGCAACGGCGAAGUUGUCUGGCGCUUCGAUCGCGACGGCCCCAAGCCACGGCAGGUGCUGUCGCCGGAGGUGGCGAGGGACAUGAACUUCAUGCUGAACAAAGUGGUGGAAGAGGGCACCGGCAAACGCGCCAUUCUCGAUGGCAUCAAAGCCGCGGGCAAGACCGGCACCACCAACGGUUUCCGCGACGCCUGGUUCGUUGGCUACACCGGCAAUUACGUCUGCGGGAUUUGGAUGGGGAACGACGAUUACCAAUCGACCAAACGCAUGACCGGCGGCACCUUGCCGGCCCGCACCUGGCACCAGAUCAUGGCCUAUGCUCAC
RNAcentral lists this unclassified non-coding RNA (374 nucleotides) under uncultured bacterium. Its description in RNAcentral is "contains 16S-23S intergenic spacer region". The record is from RNAcentral.